This is a long non-coding RNA of Gasterosteus aculeatus aculeatus (three-spined stickleback), 1150 nucleotides long. Lineage: Eukaryota; Metazoa; Chordata; Actinopteri; Perciformes; Gasterosteidae. The record is from Ensembl.
UGGAUUUAAUAUAAAACAUCAAAUAUACAUUUAGUUACAGUCUAAUUUGAGUAAACAGUAACCAUAUCUUAAGGUGUUAAUAUAUCGGUGUAGCACAGAAACACAUGACUCUCUUUUAGUACAUGAAAUGCAGAAAUGGGUCAUUAAACUGCGCAUGCACUGCAGCAGAUAUUCACAAUAGAAGAGCGGCGGCUAACAUGAAACACAUGCUCUUAAAAAACGAGCUGAAUGAAAACAGCACCAGUCAACCGCUCAUGGAGAGAGAAGAAACCGCUCUAGUCACAGCGGAGAUAAGCUGAAGGGUCCUCUGGCGUCAACAGAAUAACUGAAUUACACAAAUAAAAGACAGAAGUGCAGCACAUGAACAAACAGAAAGAAUAAAGCCUGAGAAACAGGUUAGAGACAUCAUUUAGUUAGCUCAAAUAGUUAUACUCGCACUGAUAUAAAUACAGUGAUUGAAGCGUGAUGAUACUUUUUAAAUAAGUCAUAUUGAGUUUUUCUUCCACAAAAUAUUUUAAAAAAUCAAAUUAGCCAUAGGCUAGUAAUAGUUUCAACUUGGGCAGUCAGUCUACCUCCAGAGUUUUCCAGGUUAAAUUGUAAGACUAAAUACGUUAAUAUCACUUCAACUUAUUGACAUAUUACUAUAGUCCAGUUAAAAGGUCACAACAUUAUCAAGGAAAGUAGCCUACUGUUAAUCUUUAUUUGAUUAAGUACACUACUAUAUUAGUCUUUCUAGAGUAAAUGUAAUUGGUUACUUUCCAUCAGAUAAUGCUAACUAGCGUAGCUAACCGUACAUGAAGGUGGUUUUAGUUGAAAUUCUGAAACUGUUCAUUACUGAAACUACAGAAACACAGUAAUCAUUCUUUAUUCAUGCACUUGGGGGGUAACCUUUAAACAUGGUUACUAACUUUCUCUAUGCUAAGCUAAGCUAAAAGGCUGCAGUGAGAAUGGUUUUAAUAAUCUCUUAACAUGGACUAAACUCCAAUACGAAACAGCAAUAACCAUAUUUUCUAUUCCUCCAAAAUCAAACCAUCAAAAUCUACAUUGCUUAACAUCUGGUCUAUCUUUUUAGAAACACAAAAACCACGGUUGAGUUUCUUAUUCUAUACUGCAACCCAGAGGAUUGACACUCCGCUUCCUGAUUGGUAGC